GGGGAAUCUUCCGCAAUGGGCGAAAGCCUGACGGAGCAAUACCGCGUGAGGGAGGAAUGCCUUUGGGUUGUAAACCUCUUUUCUCAGGGAAGAAGAUCUGACGGUACCUGAGGAAUAAGUAUCGGCUAACUCCGUGCCAGCAGCCGCGGUAAUACGGAGGAUGCAAGCGUUAUCCGGAAUCAUUGGGCGUAAAGCGUCCGCAGGUGGUUUUCAAAGUCUGCUGUUAAAGACUGGAGCUCAACUCCGGAAAGGCGGUGGAAACUUGGAAACUAGAGUUCGGUAGGGGUAGCAGGAAUUCCCAGUGUAGCGGUGAAAUGCGUAGAUAUUGGGAAGAACAUCGGUGGCGAAGGCGUGCUACUGGACCGCAACUGACACUCAGGGACGAAAGCUAGGGGAGCGAAAGGGAUUAGAUACCCCUGUAGUCCUAGCUGUAAACGAUGGAAACUAGGUGUGGCUUG
RNAcentral lists this ribosomal RNA (458 nucleotides) under uncultured marine microorganism. Its description in RNAcentral is "bacterial SSU rRNA". It matches the Rfam family "Bacterial small subunit ribosomal RNA", at positions 356 to 829 of the family's 1533-position model. The record is from RNAcentral.